AUAUUUGAUCGAUUCAUGAAGGUUGGUGAAAGGAGUCGACAGCAUCCUUAGGCCAAACUUACUAUUUUGGGGAAAAUUUUAUGCAAAUGUAUUGACUAUGAGUGGCAACGCUUAGAAAACUGUAUAUUUGACCGAUUCAUGAAGGAUGGUGAAAGGAGUCGACAGCAUUCUUAGGCGAAACUUACUACUUUGGGGAAAACUUUAUGCAAAUGUAUUGACUAUGAGUGGCAACGCUUAGAAAACUGUAUAUUUGACCGAUUCAUGAAGGUUGGUGAAAGGAGUCGACAGCAUUCUUAGGCGAAACUUACUACUUUGGGGAAAACUUUAUGCAAAUGUAUUGACUAUGAGUGGCAACGCUUAGAAAACUGUAUAUUUGACCGAUUCAUGAAGGAUGGUGAAAGGAGUCGACAGCAUUCUUAGGCGAAACUUACUACUUUGGGGAAAACUUUAUGCAAAUGUAUUGACUAUGAGUGGCAACGCUUAGAAAACUGUAUAUUUGACCGAUUCAUGAAGGUUGGUGAAAGGAGUCGACAGCAUUCUUAGGCGAAACUUACUACUUUGGGGUAAAAUUUAUGCAAAUGUAUUGACUAUGAGUGGCAACGCUUAGAAAAUUGUAUAUUUGAUCGAUUCAUGAAGGUUGGUGAAAGGAGUCGACAGCAUCCUUAGGCCAAACUUACUACUUUGGGGAAAAA
RNAcentral lists this long non-coding RNA (692 nucleotides) under Pectinophora gossypiella (pink bollworm). Its description in RNAcentral is "uncharacterized LOC126379305". The record is from RNAcentral. Lineage: Eukaryota; Metazoa; Arthropoda; Insecta; Lepidoptera; Gelechiidae.